UACGUAGGGUGCAAGCGUUAAUCGGAAUUACUGGGCGUAAAGCGGGCGCAGGCGGUUAUGCAAGACAGAUGUGAAAUCCCCGGGCUCAACCUGGGAACUGCAUUUGUGACUGCAUGGCUGGAGUGCGGCAGAGGGGGAUGGAAUUCCGCGUGUAGCAGUGAAAUGCGUAGAUAUGCGGAGGAACACCGAUGGCGAAGGCAAUCCCCUGGGCCUGCACUGACGCUCAUGCACGAAAGCGUGGGGAGCAAACAGG
RNAcentral lists this ribosomal RNA (253 nucleotides) under uncultured bacterium. Its description in RNAcentral is "partial 16S ribosomal RNA". It matches the Rfam family "Bacterial small subunit ribosomal RNA", at positions 524 to 776 of the family's 1533-position model. The record is from RNAcentral.